AAUAAAAAGUAAAGAGAAAAUCAGAAAAGAGAUCUGAUCCGGAGCUGCUGGUCCACGGAGCUGCCAUGCAUCCGCAGGAGAUCAAGGGGCUGUUGCUUUGUCCCCCGCCUUGUGGGACUGUCCUGGGAGAUGUUCAUUGUUAUAUGGUGGUGACACGUGGAAGAAGUAAAGGACAAAGUUUUGUCUUAUUUGAUAAAGUAGCAGCACGUGAUUGGAAC
This 218-nucleotide long non-coding RNA is filed under the name Lotus japonicus. RNAcentral's name for it is "long non-coding RNA (LJAP_LNC000364)". The record is from RNAcentral. Lineage: Eukaryota; Viridiplantae; Streptophyta; Magnoliopsida; Fabales; Fabaceae.